GACGAACCGUGCGAACGUUGUUCGGAAUCACUGGGCUUAAAGGGCGCGUAGGCGGGCCUUCAAGUCCGGGGUGAAAUCCUCCAGCCUAACUGGAGAAGAGCCUCGGAGACUGAGGGCCUCGAGGAGGGUAGGGGCAAGCGGAACUAUGGGUGGAGCGGUGAAAUGCAUUGAUAUCCAUAGGAACUCCGGUGGCGAAGGCGGCUUGCUGGACCCUUUCUGACGCUGAGGCGCGAAAGCCAGGGGAGCAAACGGG
This 253-nucleotide ribosomal RNA is filed under the name uncultured bacterium. RNAcentral describes it as "partial 16S ribosomal RNA". It matches the Rfam family "Bacterial small subunit ribosomal RNA", at positions 524 to 776 of the family's 1533-position model. The record is from RNAcentral. RNAcentral also lists the same sequence under 2 other names.